This 439-nucleotide ribosomal RNA is filed under the name uncultured bacterium. RNAcentral's name for it is "bacterial SSU rRNA". It matches the Rfam family "Bacterial small subunit ribosomal RNA", at positions 954 to 1392 of the family's 1533-position model. The record is from RNAcentral.
GCAAAACGCGAAGAACCUUACCUACUCUUGACAUCUACGGAAGACUGCAGAGAUGCGGUUGUGCCUUCGGGAACCGUAAGACAGGUGCUGCAUGGCUGUCGUCAGCUCGUGUUGUGAAAUGUUGGGUUAAGUCCCGCAACGAGCGCAACCUCUAUCCUUAGUUGCCAGCGAGUUAAGCCGGGAACUCUAGGGAGACUGCCGGUGAUAAACCGGAGGAAGGUGGGGACGACGUCAAGUCAUCAUGGCCCUUACGAGUAGGGCUACACACGUGCUACAAUGGUACGUACAGAGGGAGGCAAGCUGGCGACAGUGAGCGGAUCUCUUAAAGCGUAUCGUAGUCCGGAUCGCAGUCUGCAACUCGACUGCGUGAAGUCGGAAUCGCUAGUAAUCGCAAAUCAGAAUGUUGCGGUGAAUACGUUCCCGGGUCUUGUACACACCG